CUCCUUGCUGUCGGCUCUCCAACCCGUCUUCAACCUCAGCAUCAUCCGACCUGUCGUGAAUGUGUCAACUCCCACCCACGUGGGCAUUGGAUUCACCCUUUAUGCCAUCAUGGGGGUGGAUGAAAAGGCCCAAGUCCUGAAAACAUUCAUAUGGCAACAUUUAAGCUGGAGGAACGAGUUUGUCAAUUGGGACCCAGAACAGUGCGGAACCGAAAGGAUUUCAAUUCCAAGGGAUCUCCUGUGGGUACCAGAUAUAGUCAUAAAUGAAUUGUAAGUACCAAUCACAGAGCAGUUGUAUUUUUGCGCUGACUUUAUACCCUCAUAUCAGUGGCUGUUUGGGCUCAUUUGUAUUUUUGCAAAAGAAGCAGUUAUGAACAAUACUAUUCACUAGCUUCUUUGUCUGUUGUCUUGCUGCAGUAUGGUGAAGAACUCGGCUCCGUUCGUCCCGUACACUUAUCUGUUUUCUGACGGCUUGGUGGUCGACGAACAGCCGGUCAAAGUGAUCAGCUCCUGUAGGCUCGACAUCUACACGUUUCCCUUUGACAUCCAGACCUGCAGGUUAACCUUCAACUCCUACCUGCUCUUUGGUAAGUAGAAACAGAUCCACACCAUCUUUGUUAAAUACAGAUUGACGGGGAGGGGGGGUUUCACCUUUUUAAUAUACUUUUGCCAAUUAAUUUCCACAGAUGAACAUUUUUUAUAACACUGACUAUAUGAUUAUAAAUGGAUCAAAUCUCACUAAAUCAUUGAUUAUAUUGUGUUUUGAUUUUCAGCAAGUGCACUGCAGAUGAACCUGUCAUUUAGUGUAGAAAACAUAUUGAAACACUCUAAAGAAGUGAUGACGACUAUGGGUGAGUGGGAGCUCGUGGGACUCACAGCGACGUCAGUCCUCCUCCCAGCUUCGGGUGAUGAAAUGUACCAAGAGAUGCGCUUCUUUGUAAGGAAACAAUGCCGACUGAACUCUUAUUGUCUGUUGCACAACGUUAAAGAUUAGAUGAAGAUAGAGAAAGAGAAAUAGUUUUUUUAAG
Pungitius pungitius (ninespine stickleback) is the source of this 1028-nucleotide long non-coding RNA. RefSeq lists it as uncharacterized. The transcript is spliced from 3 exons. The record is from RefSeq and is a predicted model, not a curated record. NCBI's taxonomy places the organism in Eukaryota, Metazoa, Chordata, Actinopteri, Perciformes, Gasterosteidae.